AUGAUUGUUUUCUUUCCCAUUAUUGUUCCAUUUUGUUGCCUGACAAUGUUGCUGUCCAAAAGGUGUAAUACUAUGAAUCCAGCCACCCUGUUGCCUCUGGAACAAGGGGGGAGGGAAGAGUUAGGGUACUUAAUCUUUUCUUCCAGAUCCAGAGGAAGAGGCUCACGACUGCAGAUGAUGUCACAAGAGACAGCAGGAUAUGGUAAAUCAGCCAUUAGGUAACCCAGAUCAUGUGCUCUUUGUGAAUGGAUCGAGGUAUGACCAGUAUGGCAGGUACUACAGAGAUUGGGCAGUGGUGAUUAAAAGCCAACAUU
This is a long non-coding RNA of Bufo bufo (common toad), 314 nucleotides long. RefSeq lists it as uncharacterized. The record is from RefSeq and is a predicted model, not a curated record. The transcript has 4 exons. NCBI's taxonomy places the organism in Eukaryota, Metazoa, Chordata, Amphibia, Anura, Bufonidae.